UUUGCCAAAAGGGUGUGGUUCCAGUGACUGGUGCUGCAGCCCUGCUCCCAGCCUCCUCCCUCUGAUUCCUUCCCAUUAGGGCAGGCAGACAGCACUGCAUGAGGAGCAGCCAAGGACUUAAGUUCCAAGGAAGGUCUGUGAGAGAGAACCCUAGCCCUGUCGUGAAGAAGCAGGUGCGCCCCUAUAAGGCCAGAACCUUCUGGGCACAGAGGGCUGGUGAGGAAGGGGUUAACUAAGAGGAAAUGCCCUGUUGGACUUGGUCCUGGCCACAGGGACUGGGACUCCCCCACCGUGUUUCAAGACGGACUCGAGGGGAACGCCUCAAGACUUAAGGUUGAGGAGGACCAGGUUAGAGUGCUUCUGGAGGGGUUGGACGUGUUCAAGUCAGCAGGUGCAGAUGCUCUCCACCCCAGGGUGUUGAGGGAGCUAGCAGGGGUUAUUGCUGGGCCCUUGGCAAGGCUUUACAAGCACUCGUGGUGCUCGGGUCAGGUGCCAUAUGAUUGGAAGAUAGCCAAUGUGGUCCUCAUCUUUAAGAAAGGGAGGAGGGAGGACCCGGGAAACUAUAGGCCCGUCAGUCUUCCUCAAUCCUGGGGAAACUGUUUGAGAAGAUCAUCAAGGAGCACAUCUGUGAUGGGCCAGCAUCGGGGAUGAUGCUCAGGGGCAACAAGCACGGUUUCAUUAGG
Molecule: long non-coding RNA, 683 nt
Organism: Alligator mississippiensis (American alligator)
Lineage: Eukaryota; Metazoa; Chordata; Crocodylia; Alligatoridae
Exons: 3
Source: RefSeq, a predicted model, not a curated record